UGGUUAUUUUCUUUUCAGAUUAGUCAGAAUAAAUGCAAUAUCGCCCAGAGAUACAGACUACUUAUUCCCUUUUAUGACGUGAGUCAUUUUAAAUUUUGAGAGAACACUCAACCUGACUGAAGUAGUGUUUGAAAGAGGGUCUCUUCUUUGUGCCUUCCCAUGGUGCUGUCUGUCUUCAGAAACAAGCAGUCCCAAUGGUGGGAGUUUGGUGGUUCUGGUCUCGCCUGUGUGAACCGUAAUCUCUUGUGUGCCUGGCUGUUCUGAUCUGCCUGUUGAGCAUCCUACCAUGGUGCACAGUGUUAUACUACUGCCUCUACAGAGUUCACCUGUUCCUUUGCUUCAUUUUGGCCCUGGUGAAACUCUUCUUCCAGGUACAGACAACUUGACAAAGCAAUAAGAUCCUGGACUCUGGAAUCAGACAGAACUGGAUGUCAGCACCAACCCUGUCUAAUUUAGCACGGUGACCCUCAAAAAGCCAUUUGAAUGAUGUCAGACUGUUACUUCAAUGAAA
Molecule: long non-coding RNA, 511 nt
Organism: Bubalus bubalis (water buffalo)
Lineage: Eukaryota; Metazoa; Chordata; Mammalia; Artiodactyla; Bovidae
Exons: 3
Source: RefSeq, a predicted model, not a curated record